This 107-nucleotide small nucleolar RNA is filed under the name Capsicum annuum. RNAcentral describes it as "Plant small nucleolar RNA R71". It matches the Rfam family "Plant small nucleolar RNA R71". From Rfam's summary of the family: R71 is a member of the C/D box family of snoRNAs containing the C (UGAUGA) and D (CUGA) box motifs. Multiple nearly identical copies of this snoRNA have been identified in Arabidopsis, and it is thought to function as a 2'-O-ribose methylation guide for 18S ribosomal RNA. The record is from Rfam by way of RNAcentral. Lineage: Eukaryota; Viridiplantae; Streptophyta; Magnoliopsida; Solanales; Solanaceae.
UAAUGGUGAUAAGUACAAAUUCUGAGCAUGCCCUUGAAUCUCUCCCAAGCUUGGUAGAGAUAUUGUCCAUCUUUCUAUCUGAAACUCAAUAUCUCACUCCUUAAUCA